AUUGAACGCUGGCGGCAGGCUUAACACAUGCAAGUCGAGCGGGGUGAUGGUGCUUGCACUAUCACUUAGCGGCGGACGGGUGACUAAUGCUUAGGAAUCUGCCUAUUAGUGGGGGACAACAUCUCGAAAGGGAUGCUAAUACCGCAUACGUCCUACGGGAGAAAGCAGGGGAUCACCUGUGACCUUGCGCUAAUAGAUGAGCCUAAGUCGGAUUAGCUAGUUGGUGGGGUAAAGGCCUACCAAGGCGACGAUCUGUAGCGGGUCUGAGAGGAUGAUCCGCCACACUGGGACUGAGACACGGCCCAGACUCCUACGGGAGGCAGCAGUGGGGAAUAUUGGACAAUGGGGGGAACCCUGAUCCAGCCAUGCCGCGUGUGUGAAGAAGGCCUUAUGGUUGUAAAGCACUUUAAGCGAGGAGGAGGCUCUUUUGGUUAAUACCCAAGAUGAGUGGACGUUACUCGCAGAAUAAGCACCGGCUAACUCUGUGCCAGCAGCCGCCGUAA
Molecule: ribosomal RNA, 503 nt
Filed under: uncultured bacterium
Lineage: Bacteria
Description: partial 16S ribosomal RNA
Rfam family: Bacterial small subunit ribosomal RNA
Source: RNAcentral